AUUGAACGCUGGCGGCAGGCCUAACACAUGCAAGUCGGACGGUAGCACAGAGGAGCUUGCUCCUUGGGUGACGAGUGGCGGACGGGUGAGUAAUGUCCGGGGAUCUGCCCGAUAGAGGGGGAUAACCACUGGAAACGGUGGCUAAUACCGCAUAACGUCGCAAGACCAAAGAGGGGGACCUUCGGGCCCCUCACUAUCGGAUGAACCCAGAUGGGAUUAGCUAGUAGGCGGGGUAAUGGCCCACCUAGGCGACGAUCCCUAGCUGGUCUGAGAGGAUGACCAGCCACACUGGAACUGAGACACGGUCCAGACUCCUACGGGAGGCAGCAGUGGGGAAUAUUGCACAAUGGGCGCAAGCCUGAUGCAGCCAUGCCGCGUGUAUGAAGAAGGCCUUCGGGUUGUAAAGUACUUUCAGCGGGGAGGAAGGCGGUGAGGUUAAUAACCUCGCCGAUUGACGUUACCCGCAGAAGAAGCACCGGCUAACUCCGUGCCAGCCGCCGCGGUAA
Molecule: ribosomal RNA, 506 nt
Filed under: uncultured bacterium
Lineage: Bacteria
Description: partial 16S ribosomal RNA
Rfam family: Bacterial small subunit ribosomal RNA
Source: RNAcentral